GGUAACACGACAGUGGGCUGGCCGGUUGAACGGACAUCCCCUGCAGGUCUCCAUGACGAUGGAUUGAUGGUGGAGGACGUUACCGCCAUCUUGGCAGCGACCUUCAGCGAGCGCCUACUGUCCAAGGCUACCAUGGCGCCAUCUGUGAUGACUGUAGUGCCGGCGUUGCCAAAUUUUCAACCGCCAGUGCCUGCCACCUAUUGGACAGUGCUUUGAAGCGUAUUUGUCACACCUGGAAUCGGCGAACG
This is a long non-coding RNA of Priapulus caudatus, 248 nucleotides long. RefSeq lists it as uncharacterized. Lineage: Eukaryota; Metazoa; Priapulida; Priapulimorpha; Priapulimorphida; Priapulidae. The transcript is spliced from 3 exons. The record is from RefSeq and is a predicted model, not a curated record.